Molecule: ribosomal RNA, 1324 nt
Filed under: uncultured bacterium
Lineage: Bacteria
Description: 16S ribosomal RNA
Rfam family: Bacterial small subunit ribosomal RNA
Source: RNAcentral
GUUAGUGGCGGACGGGUGAGUAACGCGUGGGAAUCUGCCCUCAGGAGGGGGAUAACGGUUGGAAACGGCCGCUAAUACCCCAUAUGCCGAGAGGUGAAAUGAAUUUCGCCUGAGGAUGAGCCCGCGUCUGAUUAGCUAGUUGGUGAGGUAAGAGCUCACCAAGGCAUCGAUCAGUAGCUGGUCUGAGAGGAUGAUCAGCCACACUGGGACUGAGACACGGCCCAGACUCCUACGGGAGGCAGCAGUGGGGAAUUUUCCGCAAUGGGCGAAAGCCUGACGGAGCAACGCCGCGUGAGGGAUGAAGGCCUCUGGGCUGUAAACCUCUUUUAUCAAGGAAGAAGAUCUGACGGUACUUGAUGAAUAAGCCACGGCUAAUUCCGUGCCAGCAGCCGCGGUAAUACGGGAGUGGCAAGCGUUAUCCGGAAUUAUUGGGCGUAAAGCGUCCGCAGGCGGCCCUACAAGUCUGCUGUUAAAAAGUGGAGCUUAACUCCAUCAUGGCAGUGGAAACUGUUGGGCUUGAGUGUGGUAGGGGCAGAGGGAAUUCCCGGUGUAGCGGUGAAAUGCGUAGAUAUCGGGAAGAACACCAGUGGCGAAGGCGCUCUGCUGGGCCAUCACUGACGCUCAUGGACGAAAGCCAGGGGAGCGAAAGGGAUUAGAUACCCCUGUAGUCCUGGCCGUAAACGAUGAACACUAGGUGUCGGGGGAAUCGACCCCUCCGGUGUCGUAGCCAACGCGUUAAGUGUUCCGCCUGGGGAGUACGCACGCAAGUGUGAAACUCAAAGGAAUUGACGGGGGCCCGCACAAGCGGUGGAGUAUGUGGUUUAAUUCGAUGCAACGCGAAGAACCUUACCAGGGUUUGACAUCCUGCGAAUCUCUUGGAAACUUGAGAGUGCCUUCGGGAGCGCAGUGACAGGUGGUGCAUGGCUGUCGUCAGCUCGUGUCGUGAGAUGUUGGGUUAAGUCCCGCAACGAGCGCAACCCACGUCUUUAGUUGCCAGCAUUUAGUUGGGCACUCUAGAGAGACCGCCGGUGAUAAACCGGAGGAAGGUGUGGAUGACGUCAAGUCAUCAUGCCCCUUACAUCCUGGGCUACACACGUACUACAAUGCUACGGACAAAGGGCAGCAAGUUCGCGAGGACAAGCAAAUCCCAUAAACCGUGGCUCAGUUCAGAUCGUAGGCUGCAACUCGCCUACGUGAAGGAGGAAUCGCUAGUAAUCGCAGGUCAGCAUACUGCGGUGAAUACGUUCCCGGGCCUUGUACACACCGCCCAUCACACCAUGGAAGUUGGCCACGCCCGAAGCCGUUACUCCAACCCUUGUGGAGG